This 2925-nucleotide ribosomal RNA is filed under the name Enterobacter sp. KINAN-G. RNAcentral describes it as "bacterial LSU rRNA". It matches the Rfam family "Bacterial large subunit ribosomal RNA". Lineage: Bacteria; Pseudomonadati; Pseudomonadota; Gammaproteobacteria; Enterobacterales; Enterobacteriaceae. The record is from RNAcentral.
GGUUAAGCGACUAAGCGUACACGGUGGAUGCCCUGGCAGUCAGAGGCGAUGAAGGACGUGCUAAUCUGCGAAAAGCGCCGGCGAGGUGAUAUGAACCUUUGACCCGGCGAUGUCCGAAUGGGGAAACCCAGUGUGAUUCGUCACACUAUCGUUAACUGAAUACAUAGGUUAACGAGGCGAACCGGGGGAACUGAAACAUCUAAGUACCCCGAGGAAAAGAAAUCAACCGAGAUUCCCCCAGUAGCGGCGAGCGAACGGGGAGCAGCCCAGAGUCUGAAUCAGCUUGUGUGUUAGUGGAAGCGUCUGGAAAGUCGCACGGUACAGGGUGACAGUCCCGUACACGAAAGCACACAGGCUGUGAACUCGAAGAGUAGGGCGGGACACGUGGUAUCCUGUCUGAAUAUGGGGGGACCAUCCUCCAAGGCUAAAUACUCCUGACUGACCGAUAGUGAACCAGUACCGUGAGGGAAAGGCGAAAAGAACCCCGGCGAGGGGAGUGAAAAAGAACCUGAAACCGUGUACGUACAAGCAGUGGGAGCACCUUCGUGGUGUGACUGCGUACCUUUUGUAUAAUGGGUCAGCGACUUAUAUUCUGUAGCAAGGUUAACCGUAUAGGGGAGCCGAAGGGAAACCGAGUCUUAACUGGGCGUUAAGUUGCAGGGUAUAGACCCGAAACCCGGUGAUCUAGCCAUGGGCAGGUUGAAGGUUGGGUAACACUAACUGGAGGACCGAACCGACUAAUGUUGAAAAAUUAGCGGAUGACUUGUGGCUGGGGGUGAAAGGCCAAUCAAACCGGGAGAUAGCUGGUUCUCCCCGAAAGCUAUUUAGGUAGCGCCUCGUGAACUCAUCUUCGGGGGUAGAGCACUGUUUCGGCUAGGGGGCCAUCCCGGCUUACCAACCCGAUGCAAACUACGAAUACCGAAGAAUGUUAUCACGGGAGACACACGGCGGGUGCUAACGUCCGUCGUGAAGAGGGAAACAACCCAGACCGCCAGCUAAGGUCCCAAAGUCAUGGUUAAGUGGGAAACGAUGUGGGAAGGCACAGACAGCCAGGAUGUUGGCUUAGAAGCAGCCAUCAUUUAAAGAAAGCGUAAUAGCUCACUGGUCGAGUCGGCCUGCGCGGAAGAUGUAACGGGGCUAAACCAUGCACCGAAGCUGCGGCAGCGACACUAUGUGUUGUUGGGUAGGGGAGCGUUCUGUAAGCCGUUGAAGGUGUGCUGUGAGGCAUGCUGGAGGUAUCAGAAGUGCGAAUGCUGACAUAAGUAACGAUAAAGCGGGUGAAAAGCCCGCUCGCCGGAAGACCAAGGGUUCCUGUCCAACGUUAAUCGGGGCAGGGUGAGUCGACCCCUAAGGCGAGGCCGAAAGGCGUAGUCGAUGGGAAACAGGUUAAUAUUCCUGUACUUGGUGUUACUGCGAAGGGGGGACGGAGAAGGCUAUGUUAGCCGGGCGACGGUUGUCCCGGUUUAAGCAUGUAGGCGGAACGAUUAGGUAAAUCCGGUCGUUUUUUAACGCUGAGGUGUGAUGACGAGGCACUACGGUGCUGAAGUAACAAAUGCCCUGCUUCCAGGAAAAGCCUCUAAGCAUCAGGUAACAUCAAAUCGUACCCCAAACCGACACAGGUGGUCAGGUAGAGAAUACCAAGGCGCUUGAGAGAACUCGGGUGAAGGAACUAGGCAAAAUGGUGCCGUAACUUCGGGAGAAGGCACGCUGAUAUGUAGGUGAAGCCCCUGCGGGUGGAGCUGAAAUCAGUCGAAGAUACCAGCUGGCUGCAACUGUUUAUUAAAAACACAGCACUGUGCAAACACGAAAGUGGACGUAUACGGUGUGACGCCUGCCCGGUGCCGGAAGGUUAAUUGAUGGGGUUAGCGGUAACGCGAAGCUCUUGAUCGAAGCCCCGGUAAACGGCGGCCGUAACUAUAACGGUCCUAAGGUAGCGAAAUUCCUUGUCGGGUAAGUUCCGACCUGCACGAAUGGCGUAAUGAUGGCCAGGCUGUCUCCACCCGAGACUCAGUGAAAUUGAACUCGCUGUGAAGAUGCAGUGUACCCGCGGCAAGACGGAAAGACCCCGUGAACCUUUACUAUAGCUUGACACUGAACACUGGUCCUUGAUGUGUAGGAUAGGUGGGAGGCUUUGAAGUGUGGACGCCAGUCUGCAUGGAGCCGUCCUUGAAAUACCACCCUUUAAUGGCUGGUGUUCUAACGUAGACCCGUAAUCCGGGUUGCGGACAGUGUCUGGUGGGUAGUUUGACUGGGGCGGUCUCCUCCCAAAGAGUAACGGAGGAGCACGAAGGUUAGCUAAUCCUGGUCGGACAUCAGGAGGUUAGUGCAAUGGCAUAAGCUAGCUUGACUGCGAGAGUGACGGCUCGAGCAGGUGCGAAAGCAGGUCAUAGUGAUCCGGUGGUUCUGAAUGGAAGGGCCAUCGCUCAACGGAUAAAAGGUACUCCGGGGAUAACAGGCUGAUACCGCCCAAGAGUUCAUAUCGACGGCGGUGUUUGGCACCUCGAUGUCGGCUCAUCACAUCCUGGGGCUGAAGUAGGUCCCAAGGGUAUGGCUGUUCGCCAUUUAAAGUGGUACGCGAGCUGGGUUUAGAACGUCGUGAGACAGUUCGGUCCCUAUCUGCCGUGGGCGCUGGAGAAUUGAGGGGGGCUGCUCCUAGUACGAGAGGACCGGAGUGGACGCAUCACUGGUGUUCGGGUUGUCAUGCCAAUGGCACUGCCCGGUAGCUAAAUGCGGAAAAGAUAAGUGCUGAAAGCAUCUAAGCACGAAACUUGCCCCGAGAUGAGUUCUCCCUGAGACUUUAAGUCUCCUGAAGGAACGUUGAAGACGACGACGUUGAUAGGUCGGGUGUGUAAGCGCAGCGAUGCGUUGAGCUAACCGAUACUAAUGAACCGUGAGGCUUAACCUUACAACGCCGAAGAUGUUUUG